CACGCUGUAAACGAUGUCGACUUGGAGGUUGUGCCCUUGAGGCGUGGCUUCCGGAGCUAACGCGUUAAGUCGACCGCCUGGGGAGUACGGCCGCAAGGUUAAAACUCAAAUGAAUUGACNNNNNNCCGCACAAGCGGUGGAGCAUGUGGUUUAAUUCGAUGCAACGCGAAGAACCUUACCUACUCUUGACAUCCACGGAACUUGCCAGAGAUGGCUUGGUGCCUUCGGGAACCGUGAGACAGGUGCUGCAUGGCUGUCGUCAGCUCGUGUUGUGAAAUGUUGGGUUAAGUCCCGCAACGAGCGCAACCCUUAUCCUUUGUUGCCAGCACUUCGGGUGGGAACUCAAAGGAGACUGCCGGUGAUAAACCGGAGGAAGGUGGGGAUGACGUCAAGUCAUCAUGGCCCUUACGAGUAGGGCUACACACGUGCUACAAUGGCGUAUACAAAGAGAAGCAAACUCGCGAGAGCCAGCGGACCUCAUAAAGUACGUCGUAGUCCGGAUUGGAGUCUGCAACUCGACUCCAUGAAGUCGGAAUCGCUAGUAAUCGUAGAUCAGAAUGCUACGGUGAAUACGUUCCCGGGCCUUGUACACACCGCCCGUCACACCAUGGGAGUGGGUUGCAAAAGAAGUAGGUAGCUUAACCUUCGGGAGGGCGCUUACCACUUUGUGAUUCAUGACUGGGGUG
Molecule: ribosomal RNA, 686 nt
Filed under: uncultured prokaryote
Description: bacterial SSU rRNA
Rfam family: Bacterial small subunit ribosomal RNA
Source: RNAcentral